RNAcentral lists this long non-coding RNA (322 nucleotides) under Homo sapiens (human). RNAcentral's name for it is "non-protein coding lnc-CFAP46-3:7". Lineage: Eukaryota; Metazoa; Chordata; Mammalia; Primates; Hominidae. The record is from RNAcentral.
CUAACACACAUCACACACGAAAACACAUCACACAAGCACACAUCACGCACGCUAACACACAUCACACACUAACACACAUCACACACUAACACACAUCACACGUGCUAAAACACAUCACACAAGCACACAUCACACACGCUAACACACAUCACACACUAACACACAUCACACACUAACACACAUCACACGUGCUAAAACACGUCACACAAGCACACAUCACACACACUAACACAUCACACAAGCACACAUCACACACGCUAACACAUCACACACUAACACACAUCACACGUGCUAAAACACAUCACACAAGCACACAUCACAC